This 201-nucleotide long non-coding RNA is filed under the name Mytilus galloprovincialis (Mediterranean mussel). Lineage: Eukaryota; Metazoa; Mollusca; Bivalvia; Mytilida; Mytilidae. The record is from RNAcentral.
CCCAAGUCAGGAGCUUGUAAUUCAGUGGUUCUCGUUUGUUUAUGUGUUACAUAUUUGUUUUUCUUUCAUUUUUUUUUAUAUAAAUAAGGCCGUUAGUUUUCUCGUUUGAAUUGUUUUACAUUGUCUUAUCAGGGCCUUUUAUAGCUGACUAUGCGGUAUGGGCUUUGCUCAUUGUUGAAGGUCGUACGGUGACCUAUAGUU